ACGUAGGGGGCGAGCGUUGUUCGGAAUUAAUGGGCGUAAAGGGCAUGUAGGCGGCUUGGUAAGCCUGGCGUGAAAGUCUGCAGCUUAACUGUAGGGAUGCGUUGGGAACUGCUUAGCUUGAGUUACGGAGAGGGAGCUGGAAUUCCUGGUGUAGGGUUGGAAACUAUAGAUAGCAGGAAGAACACCGAUUGCGGAGGCAAUCUUCUGGCCGAUAACUGACGCUGAGGUACGAAAAUGUGGGGAUCAAACAG
This 251-nucleotide ribosomal RNA is filed under the name uncultured prokaryote. Its description in RNAcentral is "partial 16S rRNA". It matches the Rfam family "Bacterial small subunit ribosomal RNA", at positions 525 to 775 of the family's 1533-position model. The record is from RNAcentral.